UACGUAGGCAGCGAGCGUUGUUCGGAGUUACUGGGCGUAAAGGGUGCGUAGGCGGUUGUUUAAGUUUGGUGUGAAAUCUCCCGGCUCAACUGGGAGGGUGCGCCGAAUACUGAAUGACUUCGAGUGCGGGAGAGGAGAGUGGAAUUCCUGGUGUAGCGGUGAAAUGCGUAGAUAUCAGGAGGAACACCGGUGGUGUAGACGGCUCUCUGGACCGUAACUGACGCUGAGACACGAAAGCGUGGGUAGCAAACAGG
This 254-nucleotide ribosomal RNA is filed under the name uncultured bacterium. RNAcentral's name for it is "partial 16S ribosomal RNA". It matches the Rfam family "Bacterial small subunit ribosomal RNA", at positions 524 to 776 of the family's 1533-position model. The record is from RNAcentral.